CGAGCGGACUGAUGGGAGCUUGCUCCCUGAGGUUAGCGGCGGACGGGUGAGUAACACGUGGGCAACCUGCCUGUAAGACUGGGAUAACUCCGGGAAACCGGGGCUAAUACCGGAUAACCCGUUCCACCUCAUGGUGGAGCGGUAAAAGAUGGCCUCUGGCUAUCACUUACAGAUGGGCCCGCGGCGCAUUAGCUAGUUGGUAAGGUAAUGGCUUACCAAGGCGACGAUGCGUAGCCGACCUGAGAGGGUGAUCGGCCACACUGGGACUGAGACACGGCCCAGACUCCUACGGGAGGCAGCAGUAGGGAAUCUUCCGCAAUGGACGAAAGUCUGACGGAGCAACGCCGCGUGAGUGAUGAAGGUUUUCGGAUCGUAAAGCUCUGUUGUUAGGGAAGAACAAGUGCCGUUUGAAUAAGGCGGCACCUUGACGGUACCUAACCAGAAAGCCACGGCUAACUACGUGCCAGCAGCCGCGGUAAUACGUAGGUGGCAAGCGUUGUCCGGAAUUAUUGGGCGUAAAGCGCGCGCAGGCGGUCUCUUAAGUCUGAUGUGAAAGCCCACGGCUCAACCGUGGAGGGUCAUUGGAAACUGGGAGACUUGAGUACAGAAGAGGAGAGUGGAAUUCCACGUGUAGCGGUGAAAUGCGUAGAUAUGUGGAGGAACACCAGUGGCGAAGGCGACUCUCUGGUCUGUAACUGACGCUGAGGCGCGAAAGCGUGGGGAGCAAACAGGAUUAGAUACCCUGGUAGUCCACGCCGUAACGAUGAGUGCUAUGUGUUAGGGGUUUCGAUGCCCUUAGUGCCGAAGUUAACACAUUAAGCACUCCGCCUGGGGAGUACGACCGCAAGGUUGAAACUCAAGGAAUUGACGGGGGCCCGCACAAGCAGUGGAGCAUGUGGUUUAAUUCGAAGCAACGCGAGAACCUUACCAGUCUUGACAUCCUUUGACCACUCUAGAGAUAGAGCUUC
This 968-nucleotide ribosomal RNA is filed under the name Alkalihalophilus pseudofirmus. RNAcentral describes it as "bacterial SSU rRNA". It matches the Rfam family "Bacterial small subunit ribosomal RNA", at positions 63 to 1015 of the family's 1533-position model. The record is from RNAcentral. Lineage: Bacteria; Bacillati; Bacillota; Bacilli; Caryophanales; Bacillaceae.